Molecule: unclassified non-coding RNA, 150 nt
Filed under: Toxicocladosporium banksiae
Lineage: Eukaryota; Fungi; Ascomycota; Dothideomycetes; Cladosporiales; Cladosporiaceae
Description: sequence contains ITS2
Source: RNAcentral
CACCACUCAAGCCUCGCUUGGUAUUGGGCGACGCGGUCCGCCGCGCGCCUCAAAUCGACCGGCUGGGUCGAUCGCACCCUCAGCGUUGUGGAAACUAUUCGCUAAAGGGACCGUGGUCGGUCACGCCGUGAAACAAACCAAUUUUUCAAU